GGCAGCAGCUAAGAAUAUUCCGCAAUGGACGAAAGUCUGACGGAGCGACGCCGCGUGGAUGAUGAAGGCCGGAAGGUUGUAAAAUCCUUUUAUGACUGAGGAAUAAGUUCUCUGAGAGAAACGGAGGAUGGUGACUGUAGGUCAUGAAUAAGCAACGGCUAAUUACGUGCCAGCAGCCGCGGUAACACGUAAGUUGCGAGCGUUGUUCGGAAUUAUUGGGCGUAAAGGGUAUGUAGGCGGUUCUGCAAGUCUGGUGUGAAAUGCCGGGGCUCAACCCCGGAACUGCGUUGGAAACUGCAGGACUUGAAUCGCUGAGGGGCAGCCAGAAUUCCAGGUGUAGGGGUGAAAUCUGUAGAUAUCUGGAAGAAUACCAAUGGCGAAGGCAGGCUGCCAGCAGAUGAUUGACGCUGAGGUACGAAGGUGCGGGGAGCAAACAGGAUUAGAUACCCUGGUAGUCCGCACAGUCAACUAUGUACACUGGGUGUCCGUGCAUGAGCAUGGGUGCCGAAGCAAACGCGAUAAGUGUACCGCCUGGGGAGUAUGCCCGCAAGGGUGAAACUCAAAGGAAUUGACGG
This 575-nucleotide ribosomal RNA is filed under the name uncultured rumen bacterium. RNAcentral describes it as "bacterial SSU rRNA". It matches the Rfam family "Bacterial small subunit ribosomal RNA", at positions 347 to 916 of the family's 1533-position model. The record is from RNAcentral.